This 1540-nucleotide ribosomal RNA is filed under the name metagenome. Its description in RNAcentral is "bacterial SSU rRNA". It matches the Rfam family "Bacterial small subunit ribosomal RNA". The record is from RNAcentral.
GGGUUUGAUCCUGGCUCAGAACGAACGCUGGCGGCGUGGUUCAGACAUGCAAGUCGAACGGUCUGGCCACUGGAGUAAUCCGGUGGUCAGGUAGUGGCGAAAGGGUGAGUAAUAAGUAGAUAACGUACCCUCUGCUCGGGGAUAGUGGCGGUGGCUUCGGCCACCUACCGAAAGGGCCAGUAAUACCCGAUGAUCUCUUUAGGCUUUCUGGUCUUUGGAGCAAAGGUGGGGAUCCUUCGGGACCUACCGGCAAAGGAGCGGUCUACUUCCCAUCAGCUUGUUGGUGAGGUAAAGGCUCACCAAGGCGACGACGGGUAGCCGGCCUGAGAGGGUGAACGGCCUCACUGGGACUGAGACACUGCCCAGAGCCCUACGGGGUGCUGCAGUUUCGAAUCGUUCACAAUGCGCGAAAGCGUGAUGACGCGACGCCGCGUGCGGGAGGAAGGCCUUCGGGUUGUAAACCGCUUUUAGGGGGUACGAAGUGGACGGGGUCAAUAGCCCCGGGAUCUGACAUCAACCCCAGAAAAAGCUCCGGCUAACUUCGUGCCAGCAGCCGCGGUAAGACGAAGGGAGCGAGCGUUGUUCGGUAUCACUGGGCUUAAAGGGCACGUAGGCGGCUUGAUGUGUCGGUUGUGAAAUCCCAGGGCUCAACUCAGGAAUUGCUUCCGAAACUAUCAGGCUUGAGGCAUUCUGGGGGUGACUGGAACUCUUGGUGGAGCGGUGACAUGCGUAGAUAUCAAGAGGAACGCCGGUGAUGAAGACGGGUCACUGGGAAUGUCCUGACGCUGAGGUGCGAAAGCUAGGGGAGCGAACGGGAUUAGAUACCCCGGUAGUCCUAGCCGUAAACGAUGUGCACUAGGUCGCGGAGGUUCUGACGCCGUCGCGGCCGGAGCAAAAGUGUUAAGUGCACCGCCUGGGGAGUACGGUCGCAAGGCUAAAACUCAAAGGAAUUGACGGGGACUCACACAAGCGGUGGAGCAUGUGGCUCAAUUCGAAACAACGCGAAGAACCUUAUCCUGGGUUUGACAUGCACGAAUGAAACCGGUGAAAGCCGGGGACUGCCUUUACGGGUGAAACGUGCACAGGUGCUGCAUGGCUGUCGUCAGCUCGUGCUGUGAAGUGUCGGGUUAAGUCCCUUAACGAGCGAAACCCUUGUCGCUAGUUGCCAGCGGGUCAUGCCGGGGACUCUAGCGAGACUGCCGGUGUUAAACCGGAGGAAGGUGGGGAUGACGUCAAGUCCUCAUGGCCUUUAUGCCCAGGGCUGCACACGUGCUACAACGGGGCGGACAAAGGGUCGCCAACCCGCGAGGGGGAGCUAAUCCCAAAAACCGCCUCCCAGUCCGGAUUGCAGGCUGCAACUCGCCUGCAUGAAGUUGGAAUCGCUAGUAAUCGCAGAUCAGCUAUGCUGCGGUGAAUAUGUUCCUGAGUCUUGUACACACCGCCCGUCAAGCCAUGGAAGCUGGUAGUACCCGAAGUCGCUGACCCAACCCCUCGGGGAGGGAGGUGCCGACGGUAAGACUGGUGACUGGUGCUAAGUCGU